CCUUAUUUCUUUUCCCCCAAAACCGCCGAUCCCUACUUGCCUUCCCCGAUCUCCCCUCUUCCUCUUCCUCUCUCUGUUCUCUCGCGGACGGGCGACGCCGAAGCAAGCCGAGAGCUCCGGUGAUCUCCUUCGGCCGGCAUCGACGCCUAGUAAGCCCAGAUCCAGCCGAAGCCUCCUCCUCCUCGCUCUAAUCUUUCUGAAGACUCUCACGGGGACGAACCGACGCCGAGCGUGGACGAGUCGACGCCGACGAUCGCCGGUGUAGAUCUAUCUGCGGAGCUUGCCGGAGAUCAAUCAAGGAGACAAGGAUCAUCUUGAUUUCCUCUGCUCAACCCUUCCCCGAUCUUUCUUCUCAUUUCUGCCGACCCUCUCUCCCCCGAUCCGAUCGCCGGCUUGAAUGCCCUAGGGUUUCGAAGGAAGGAGAGAUCGGAUCCAAUUACGUGCUGUAACCCACAGAUCGGUUCUGGGAUGUUUCCUUCUUUGCUGUGAUUGAGGUUCGGUUGAAGUGGGGGAGGAUUUCAGCAGAGUUGCUGUGGUUUCUUUGAUCCAGCAAGGAAAUUCCUCUCAUUGUGCUGUCGGCAGAGGCUUCAGAUCAGUGAGGACUCUGAUUCGAGACGGGCGUCUCGACUUCGGAUUUGGAUUGUACCUGCUAUUUGAGGCGGGUACCCUUUGACUUAUCUUGUUGAUAUUGUCUUGUGAUAUGUGCAGUUUAUAUAUGUUUACUAGUAAUUGGUAGAUCUUUCUCUUCUCUGGUUAUAGUUUAUUCUAUACCUGUAGGCGAUUAUUAGCGAUUGGUAGUUAGCAUAUUCCCUGGUUUAGUUACUUGAUACUUGAUACAUGUUGCUACGAUUAGCAUCUAUACCUUAGUCUAGCAUGCUUUUCUUUCUUGCUAUGCUUAUCUGUGUUCAUAGAGAUGCAUAUCUAUAGUGCUCUACUCUACUGGAUUAGUUGCUUUACAUGUGUGAUACAUGCUCUUGGAUUCAUGAUACUUACAUCAUUGUUAUAUGUGAUGUCUUUGGA
This is a long non-coding RNA of Zingiber officinale, 1020 nucleotides long. RefSeq lists it as uncharacterized. Lineage: Eukaryota; Viridiplantae; Streptophyta; Magnoliopsida; Zingiberales; Zingiberaceae. The record is from RefSeq and is a predicted model, not a curated record. The transcript has 3 exons.